UACGUAGGGUGCGAGCGUUAAUCGGAAUUACUGGGCGUAAAGUGUGCGCAGGCGGCUUCGCAAGUCGAGUGUGAAAUCCCCGAGCUUAACUUGGGAAUUGCGCUCGAAACUACGGAGCUGGAGUGUGGCAGAGGAUGGUGGAAUUCCCAGUGUAGAGGUGAAAUUCGUAGAUAUUGGGAAGAACACCGAUGGCGAAGGCAGCCAUCUGGACCGACACUGACGCUGAGGCGCGAAAGCGUGGGGAGCAAACAGG
RNAcentral lists this ribosomal RNA (253 nucleotides) under uncultured bacterium. Its description in RNAcentral is "partial 16S ribosomal RNA". It matches the Rfam family "Bacterial small subunit ribosomal RNA", at positions 524 to 776 of the family's 1533-position model. The record is from RNAcentral.